Molecule: long non-coding RNA, 603 nt
Organism: Hyaena hyaena (striped hyena)
Lineage: Eukaryota; Metazoa; Chordata; Mammalia; Carnivora; Hyaenidae
Exons: 5
Source: RefSeq, a predicted model, not a curated record
CAGGGGAGCUCUUCGUUCUUUCGCGUCUUGGCUCUGGCGUUUGCUCUACUGUUUGCAUCGUGCCUCAUCCUCUUCAUCCCAUGAGGUCCGAUCCCGGGAACUCGGCUUUGCUACUGUGUGUGGUUAGCGCGAUCAGAGGGUACGGGAUGGAUCUAGGAGGAGGUACUCGAUGCUGGGCCUCCAAGAGAGCCCCACGUAGACGUCUCCAGCCUUCGGGCGCCUGACCUGGGAAAACCGACUUUCCAGUGGCCCAGGAGCAGGAAGCGCUUGGUGAUGUCCACAUGGCUGAAUAGACAGGAUCUGGAGACGGGACAGGUCCAAAGCCCUGUGGGCUACAGGACUACAGUAAGUAGAUUGAUGCAGCCUGGUCUGCUGUUUCAGUCUGUCCCAUAACAGGAGUUUCCCAUCUGUGGAGUUCGAAUACAGACCUUGAAAAAGAAAUAAUGGUUCUGGCUGAAUCAGUCUUACAAGGCUUUUGUGUAACCUGAAGACCGUUAAGAGGCCUGUGCCCAUUUUGAAGGGCCAAGAAUUAUUGUUGAACUUGAGUAAAAUUUCUAACUUGCAUUCUUCCAAGUCUAGAGUAAAAAUAAAAAUCUUUAAAAA